Molecule: RNA transcript, 4054 nt
Organism: Lytechinus pictus (painted urchin)
Lineage: Eukaryota; Metazoa; Echinodermata; Echinoidea; Temnopleuroida; Toxopneustidae
Gene name: cryptochrome-2-like
Exons: 14
Source: RefSeq, a predicted model, not a curated record
ACAUGUCAUGUUUCGUGAGUCUUUCAAAAACACCGAAAAGGAGAAUCGAACCAAUUAUUCAAUUCUUCACGUGCCGUUUCAGAUAAAUCAGCGCCUUUCUUAUCAUUGACAAACAAUAUAUCUUGAGUUUCGUCGUCUGCUUUGGGUGGUUAUAUAGGCCGAUCGGAAGACUUGAAAAUAUCAUUCUUUGAUUGGUAAUACCGCCAUGAAGGUUCAUCUUGUCUGCUGCGUUGUCGCCCUGCUAGCCGUUCAGGCACAAGGUGCUUGGCCAUGGGACCGGCUCUUCGCCCCGAUCCCAUCGACCACGCCCCCACCAACCACAGACCCGACCCCGGUCAUUGACACAUCGGAUGUCCUCGAAGCCGAUUCCAGUGUCGAUUUCUGGGACGAUGUCUACGAGCGCGCCUUCAACGAAUACGGGCCCGUUGACGUCCCCUACUACGAGAACAGCCCUUGGAGUGUGUCCUCGAUGUUGUUGGGGCUAGGUGAUAACAUCGUGUCGGUACUGCCGCAGUUCUUCCGUGACGUGUGGUACUACGGUCCCUCGGAUAGGGAGGUGUUUGUCCCUCAGGUUCAACCUGGAGAGAUGCCGUACAAUAGCACCAUCCAUUGGUUCCGUAAGGGUCUUCGCAUCCAUGACAACCCCGCCCUCUUGACGGCCAUCCAGGGCACAAAGGUCUUCCGGCCGGUCUUCAUCCUAGAUCCGAGCUUCCUCGAGUCCGGCAAGGUUGGCAUCAACAGGUGGCGCUUCCUCCUGGAAGCUCUCCAGGACCUUGACAACAGCUUCAGGGCUUUGGGAUCCCGGUUGUUUGUCGUUCGUGGAAACCCUACAACAGUGUUCCCCGAGCUCUUCAAGAAAUGGAACGUGACCCGUCUGACCUUUGACGUUGACACCGAGCCCUAUGCACGCCAGCGCGACCAGGAAGUGAUAGAACUGGCCAAGAAAAGUGGUGUUGAAGUUGUCACCAAAGUCUCCCAUACGCUCUAUGACACCGAGAGAACAAUCAAAGCCAACAAGAACAAACCACCCAUGACAUACCAGAGGAUGGUCGGCCUGCUGUCUGAGAUCGGAGCACCUGCAGUUCCGGAACUAGCCCCACAGAUUUCUAACUUCACAGAAGUCGCAACCCCUGUCAAACCCGACCAUGAUAGCGUAUAUGGAGUACCAAGCCUGGAGGACCUGGGCCUAGACGCUACAGGUCUUGGACCUCGUCUGUACCCUGGAGGGGAGACCGAGGGUCUCCAACGCAUGGAGCUUCACCUUGCCAGGAAGUCAUGGGUGUGCGGCUUUGAAAAACCAAAGACAAGCCCGAACUCCUUAGAACCAAGCACAACCGUUCUUAGUCCGUACCUGAAAUUUGGCUGCCUUUCACCGAGGAAGUUCUUUUAUGCAAUCAAAGAGGUUUAUGCACAGAAGACCAACUGCACCAAGCCUCCCGUUUCCCUGAUGGGCCAGCUGAUCUGGAGGGAGUUCUUCUACACCGUUGCCGCGGGAACGCCCAACUUCCACCAGAUGGAGGAGAAUCCAAUCUGUAUUCAAGUUCCUUGGGAUGAUAAUCCAGAAUUCCUGGCCGCCUGGAAGGAGGGGCGCACUGGUUACCCCUACAUUGAUGCCAUCAUGACCCAACUGAAGACCGAAGGCUGGAUCCAUCACCUUGCCAGACAUUCUGCUGCUUGCUUCCUCACCAGGGGUGACCUCUGGCAAAGCUGGGUCAAGGGUCAAGAGGUAUUUGAUGAGUUGCUAUUGGAUGCUGACUAUAGCCUCAAUGCAGCUAACUGGAUGUGGCUGUCAUCAAGUGCCUUCUUCCACCAAUACUACCGGGUCUACAGCCCCAUUGUGUUUGGCAAAAAGACGGAUCAGAACGGAGACUACAUCAGGAAAUACAUCCCAAUCCUGAAGAAUUUUCCUGCCAAGUACAUCUACGAGCCUUGGACCGCUCCACGCAGCGUGCAGGAGGCGGCAGGGUGUAUCAUUGGGAGGGACUACCCACGACCGAUCGUUGACCACAGCGUCGUCUCAAAGAGAAACAUCGGGAGGAUGAAGGAUGCGAGAGCUUGCCAGCCAGGGAAAUCACCAGAAAAGAGAUCAACUGAAGCGUCAAACAAGAACAGCAACGGCAAAGUCAGAAAGAUCACAUCUAUGCUGAAGAAGAAAUAGACUAUACAACUUGCAGUGGUACGUGUAUGAUGGAAGAUUCUACUAUACAUUCCAAAACUAGUUCAGACAGGGAUACGAUCCCAUCAUCAUUUCUGUUGUUGUAAAAAUUAAUUGUCUUAUGUUCUUUAUCCUCUUUUGUCUCUGACUCCUUCCUUUAUGAUUAUGGGAUGUAUGCCCCUUGAAACCGAGGCAACGCUUCAUAUGAUACAUCAUUGAUAAGCAAGUAAACAAUGUUAUGUAAUGAAAUAAAGUGAAUGAGUCAUAGUUUAAGGGCGAAAUAGCGAUUUCAGCAUCUGAUCAGUCAGUGAUUGCUUUAGGCUAUACAUUGUUCGAAGUAGAGCAUUAGAUUUUUUUUUCCUUAUCUGUAUAUUUUGCACUUUUUUCAUCUUUAAGUAUUGCUACUGAAUAGUAAUUCUUGUUCGUAAGGUAUGUAUUUAUUUUUUUUUUCAGUUAGAAAAAUAAGCUUAGCAAAGUUCGAUCUAGGUAGUAUAGAUCAGGGCUGGUAUAGAUGACCUUUUUUUCUGUUAAAGACAUGUUUUUUUUUAAGUUGUUUUGUUUACAAAAUGGCUUUGAUAGAAUGAUAUAUGAGUAAACAAUAUAUUACCUAUAUAAGUGUGUGAAUUUUCUACAGAUGAAGUGCUAGUGAUGACCAAAUUAAUAGUGUGUGAAUCAGAUGAAGAUUAACUGCUCAAUUUUCAGGGAAGACAAAAUAUUUGAUAGAGUUUAGAGAAAAUGUAUUAAUACGUAUGUUCUUAGAAUCACCCACACAGUAUUGUAUUCAACUUAUAAAUAUUGCAAUAAUUUUAUCCAAGAGGAAUCAUGCCAUUCAUUAAAAUUAUCAUGUUAUGUGUAUUUAAGGUGUUUUUCUACUUAUAAAAAUAUGUUCAAGCUAAUGAUGUGUACUAAAAUGAGCCAUUGGUGCUCUUUAAAGUUUGUGCAAAACUUCAGCAACAAAACAAAGCAUAUGCACUUCAAACUUGCGUGUGAUAUUUCAUAUGCAUACAAAGCCCGUGCAGCUGAUUUGAUAUCAUAUCUCAGUUAAACAUGAUGAAAAUUAUACAUCAACCAUAUUUUUGGGGAGGAGGGUGGGGCCAAGAUGUGGCCAUAUAAAUACCUAUUUAGCCUUAUUGUAAAUUGGCCUGGUUUCAAACAGUACUGAACCGUCAGAUUGAUGUAAAUAGGGUAUAUUACAUUAGGUUUCCGUUUGGCCACUCCUUGGGAUACUACUAACCAACUUGUGUCAAAUUUGGCAUGUGGAGGUUUCGUAUAAUUUUAUACUGAGAUAUGCUUACAAUGCAAAAAAAAAGAUGUUGCAUCAAUGUACCCCAUAGGAAGCAAAGACUUAAAAAGGCAAUCACACAACUUUUGGAUAUGCAUGAGCAGUGAUGGAGAUGUCAAAGAAUGUCCGCAGUCUGCUCAGGUCUUGACUAACAUCACAAAGCAAUUUUUAAAACUAAUAUUCCUGCCAUAUAUAUUGUAUUCCCGUCUAGGGGUUUGGUGUAAUUGGCAAUCAAGGAAUGUUGGUAUCUACAAUUUUUGUAGAAGUAGUCAGCAAGCCUAUGCUUUUCACCAUUUUUUAAAUUCCCCAUGCCCAUGGCAAUGAACAACUCGCUCAUCUGUUCAUAAAUUUGUACUAAACUAAGUUGAAUAUCUUACAUUUAUGCUAAAUUGCCAUGAAAUCGUGACUACUACAAUAAUUUGUCACAUUUCAUGUUUUUUUUACAUCAUAGAAAAGAUACUUUAGUCCGAUAUUGCAAUGAAAAUAUUGUUAAUACCGUAUUACAAUAAGUAUAAUUGUUUUGAUAAAUGAUCAUGUAUUGCAUGCCGACAGUUCCCUUGCAAGAUGUGAAAUUAUUUCUUGUUUGUGAGUUGAUUAAAUGAAUUAUGGUAACUUCA